UACGUAGGGGGCGAGCGUUGUCCGGAUUUAUUGGGCGUAAAGAGCGUGUAGGCGGCCAGGUAGGUCAGCUGUGAAAACUCGAGGCUCAACCUCGAGAUGUCGGCUGAAACCAUCUGGCUAGAGUCCGGAAGAGGAGAAUGGGAAUUCCCGGUGUAGCGGUGAAAUGCGCAGAUAUCGGGAAGAACACCCGUGGCGAAGGCGGGUUCUCUGGGACGGUACUGACGCUGGAGACGCGAAAGCGUGGGGAGCGAACAGG
This 256-nucleotide ribosomal RNA is filed under the name uncultured bacterium. RNAcentral's name for it is "partial 16S ribosomal RNA". It matches the Rfam family "Bacterial small subunit ribosomal RNA", at positions 524 to 776 of the family's 1533-position model. The record is from RNAcentral.